RNAcentral lists this ribosomal RNA (336 nucleotides) under Triticum aestivum (bread wheat). Its description in RNAcentral is "partial small subunit ribosomal RNA". Lineage: Eukaryota; Viridiplantae; Streptophyta; Magnoliopsida; Poales; Poaceae. The record is from RNAcentral.
GACAUCUCCGGCCUCAACCGAGCUCUCAUUAUUCUUCUCCCGAAGAAUAAUGACGCCAGGUCCCCAAAUGACUUUCGCCCCAUCUCCCUCCAAAAUUGCCCUAUCAAAGGUGUUGCCAAACUCCUUAUCAACAGACAUAAAGCUCACAUCCCUCUUCUGGUCCACGCCGAUCAAACUGGCUUCCUAUCUGGUUGCAACAUCUCGGAAAACUUCCUCUAUGUCGCUGACAUUCUCCACUGCUGCGCCAAGAAAAAGGCCACAUCCAUCGUUGUCAAGCUGGACUUUCGGAAAGCGUUCGACUCAAUCUGUUGGUCCUCCCUACUCCACACCUUAUAG